RNAcentral lists this ribosomal RNA (404 nucleotides) under Fusobacteriota bacterium. RNAcentral describes it as "Fusobacteria bacterium partial 16S ribosomal RNA". It matches the Rfam family "Bacterial small subunit ribosomal RNA", at positions 355 to 776 of the family's 1533-position model. The record is from RNAcentral. Lineage: Bacteria; Fusobacteriati; Fusobacteriota.
UGGGGAAUAUUGCACAAUGGAGGGAACUCUGAUGCAGCGACGCCGCGUGAGUGAUGAAGGAAUUCGUUUCGUAAAACUCUGUUCUAUGGGAAGCAAAGGACUGUACCAUAGGAGAAAGCUCCGGCUAAAUACGUGCCAGCAGCCGCGGUAAUACGUAUGGAGCGAGCGUUGUCCGGAAUUAUUGGGCGUAAAGGGUGCGCAGGCGGCUUUACAAGUUGGAUGUGAAAUAUUGUGGCUCAACCACAAACGUGCAUCCAAAACUGCAAAGCUUGAGUUAAGGAGGGGUAAGUGGAAUUCCGGGUGUAGCGGUGGAAUGCGUAGAUAUCGGGAGAAAUACCGGUGGCGAAGGCGACUUACUGGACUUAAACAGACGCUCAGGCACGAAAGCGUGGGGAGCAAACAGG